AUUGAACGCUGGCGGCAUGCUCUACACAUGCAAGUCGAACGGUAACAGGCCGCAAGGUGCUGACGAGUGGCGAACGGGUGAGUAAUGCAUCGGAACGUGCCCAGUCGUGGGGGAUAACUACUCGAAAGAGUAGCUAAUACCGCAUACGAUCUAUGGAUGAAAGCGGGGGACCGUAAGGCCUCGCGCGAUUGGAGCGGCCGAUGUCAGAUUAGGUAGUUGGUGGGGUAAAGGCUCACCAAGCCAACGAUCUGUAGCUGGUCUGAGAGGAGGACCAGCCACACUGGGACGGAGACACGGCCCAGGCUCCUACGGGAGGCAGCAGUGGGGAAUUUUGGACAAUGGGCGCAAGCCUGAUCCAGCAAUGCCGCGUGCAGGAAGAAGGCCUUCGGGUUGUAAACUGCUUUUGUACGGAACGAAACGGCUCUGGUUAAUACCCGGGGCUAAUGACGGUACCGUAAGAAUAAGCACCGGCUAACUACGUG
This 482-nucleotide ribosomal RNA is filed under the name uncultured bacterium. RNAcentral's name for it is "partial 16S ribosomal RNA". It matches the Rfam family "Bacterial small subunit ribosomal RNA", at positions 30 to 507 of the family's 1533-position model. The record is from RNAcentral.